CGGAGGAAAAGAAACUAACAAGGAUUCCCCUAGUAACGGCGAGUGAAGCGGGAUGAGCUCAAAUUUAAAAUCUGGCGGCCUCAGGUCGUCCGAGUUGUAGUCUAGAGAAUCGUUUUCCGCGUUGGCCUGUGUACAAGUCCCUUGGAACAGGGCGUCAUAGAGGGUGAGAAUCCCGUCCUUGACACAGACUACCAAUGCUUUGUGAUGCGAUCUCGAAGAGUCGAGUUGUUUGGGAAUGCAGCUCAAAAUGGGUGGUAAAUUCCAUCUAAAGCUAAAUAUUGGCGAGAGACCGAUAGCGAACAAGUACCGUGAGGGAAAGAUGAAAAGCACUUUGGAAAGAGAGUUAAACAGUACGUGAAAUUGUUAAAAGGGAAACGAUUGAAGUCAGUCAUGCUUUCCGAGACUCAGCCGAUUCUGUCGGUGUACUUCUCGGUUGGCAGGCCAGCAUCAGUUUCGAUCUGUGGAAAAGGUUGGAGGGAACGUGGCAUCCUCGGAUGUGUUAUAGCCCUUCUUCGAAUACAUAGAGCGGGACUGAGGAACGCAGCGCGCCUUUUAUUAGGUUGGCCCUCGGGUACAUACGCGCUUAGGAUGCUGGCAUAAUGGCUUUAAACGACCCGUCU
RNAcentral lists this ribosomal RNA (620 nucleotides) under Mrakia frigida. RNAcentral's name for it is "partial large subunit ribosomal RNA". It matches the Rfam family "Eukaryotic large subunit ribosomal RNA", at positions 51 to 654 of the family's 3401-position model. Lineage: Eukaryota; Fungi; Basidiomycota; Tremellomycetes; Cystofilobasidiales; Mrakiaceae. The record is from RNAcentral.